This 334-nucleotide ribosomal RNA is filed under the name uncultured eukaryote. RNAcentral's name for it is "partial 18S ribosomal RNA". It matches the Rfam family "Eukaryotic small subunit ribosomal RNA", at positions 1470 to 1796 of the family's 1831-position model. The record is from RNAcentral.
CCCUUAGAUGUCCGGGGCCGCACGCGCGCUACACUGAAGGAAUCAGCGUGGCUUUCUCCCUGACCCGCCCGGGUUGGGAAACCCGUUGAAUCUCCUUCGUGAUAGGGAUUGGGGCUUGAAAUUGUUCCCCAUGAACGAGGAAUUCCCAGUAAGCGCGAGUCAUAAGCUCGCGUUGAUUACGUCCCUGCCCUUUGUACACACCGCCCGUCGCUACUACCGAUUGAACGGUUUAGUGAGGGCCUCGGAUUGGUCUCGGCCCGCUCUUUACCGGGCGGCGCCGUUGGUCGAGAAGACGUUCGAACUUGAUCGUUUAGAGGAAGUAAAAGUCGUAACA